This is a long non-coding RNA of Zalophus californianus (California sea lion), 351 nucleotides long. RefSeq lists it as uncharacterized. The transcript is spliced from 3 exons. The record is from RefSeq and is a predicted model, not a curated record. NCBI's taxonomy places the organism in Eukaryota, Metazoa, Chordata, Mammalia, Carnivora, Otariidae.
GAUGGGGCAGCACCAGACCGAGCGCUCUAGCUGAGGGAUACAGAUUAGGGAUGAGGACAUAACUCCAAAGAAUAACUCUGCUGAAGUGACUUCACUGCAGAGAGUCAACUUAGUCUUAGACAGAAAACCUCUCUAUGAAUAAAGGGGAAUAAAGUUAAAGGAAAUGAAGCAAAUAAAGCAAGAAAAAAAAAAUACCGAUGACCAGAAAAGAGCAAUAUAUUUAAUGGUUUCCCAGGAGGAAAUUCUUAAGAAGCCAAACUGAAGAAUUAGAUUGGGACUUGUCAUUUCCAUGUGCACAAAGAGAUAGCGACACAGCGAGAGAGGGAACACAAGCAGGGGGAGUAGGAGAGG